UUGGGGUUUCGAAAUCAAGAG
Molecule: microRNA, 21 nt
Filed under: Arabidopsis lyrata
Lineage: Eukaryota; Viridiplantae; Streptophyta; Magnoliopsida; Brassicales; Brassicaceae
Description: aly-miR3439-5p
Source: miRBase by way of RNAcentral